RNAcentral lists this ribosomal RNA (251 nucleotides) under uncultured prokaryote. RNAcentral describes it as "partial 16S rRNA". It matches the Rfam family "Bacterial small subunit ribosomal RNA", at positions 525 to 775 of the family's 1533-position model. The record is from RNAcentral.
ACGGAGGGUCCGAGCGUUAUCCGGAUUUAUUGGGUUUAAAGGGUGCGUAGGCGGUUUUAUAAGUCAGCGGUGAAAUUUUCCGGCUCAACCGGGAUUCUGCAGCUGAUACUGCAUGGCUAGAGUCCGGAAGAUGAGACUGGAAUUCCUGGUGUAGCGGUGAAAUGCGCAGAUAUCAGGAAGAACACCGGUGGCGAAGGCGGGUCUCUGGGACGGUACUGACGCUGAGACGCGAAAGCGUGGGGAGCAAACAG